GUAGGUGAACCUGCGGAAGGAUCAUUAACGAAUCUUCGAGGUUGUGCUGGUUCUCACAAGUGCACGCCUCUUACAUUCCAUUCACACCUUCUGUGCACUCUAAGAGACGUAUUUCCCCCGUUUACGUGCCGUCAAGGCUCGGGACUUCGUCUAUUUACACACCCUUCUGUAUCAGAAUGUCUCUGGCGGAAACGCUAAAAACAAA
Molecule: unclassified non-coding RNA, 205 nt
Filed under: plant metagenome
Description: partial contains small subunit ribosomal RNA, internal transcribed spacer 1, and 5.8S ribosomal RNA
Source: RNAcentral